This 253-nucleotide ribosomal RNA is filed under the name uncultured bacterium. Its description in RNAcentral is "partial 16S ribosomal RNA". It matches the Rfam family "Bacterial small subunit ribosomal RNA", at positions 524 to 776 of the family's 1533-position model. The record is from RNAcentral.
UACGGAGGGUGCAAGCGUUAUCCGGAUUCACUGGGUUUAAAGGGUGCGUAGGUGGGCAGGUAAGUCAGUGGUGAAAUCUCCGGGCUUAACCCGGAAACUGCCAUUGAUACUAUCAGUCUUGAAUACCGUGGAGGUAAGCGGAAUAUGUCAUGUAGCGGUGAAAUGCUUAGAUAUGACAUAGAACACCGAUAGCGAAGGCAGCUUACUACAGGAUGAUUGACGCUGAGGCACGAAAGCGUGGGGAGCAAACAGG